Long non-coding RNA from Calidris pugnax (ruff), 2111 nucleotides. RefSeq lists it as uncharacterized. NCBI's taxonomy places the organism in Eukaryota, Metazoa, Chordata, Aves, Charadriiformes, Scolopacidae. The transcript has 3 exons. The record is from RefSeq and is a predicted model, not a curated record.
GUGGAGAACCCUGGAAGCUGUGCUGGUGGGCCCAGCCCCAGGGUGGGGAGGUCCCCGGGCACCCCCUUGCCUUGCUUUUGCCCCCCUGCUAUCCUGGAGGUGGGUAACAGCCUCCCGGUGAGGGCACUGGAAGGAGGUACUGCCAGCAGCACAACAGAGGAGGAGGAGGAAGAAGAGGAGGAGGAAGAAGGAGCUGGGGAACAGCCGUGGCAGCGAGGGCUCCCCCAAGCACGAUGCUCUUCAAAGUUUCUCAAGAGGCCUCAGCCGCUCUUUCAAGGUACAAGCGCCCCGAAGCCAGGAUGAUGUGGUCCCAGUAUGGCCCACACGCUGGGGUCACCGUGACCACAGCUCCAGUUUUGGGUAUUUUCAUUUGCCUGGGUACACUCCUGCAAUCCAGCACGUCUCAGGCAAGCUGCAAAGCCCUGCUCGGUGGUGGUGACUCACUCAGGUUCCCAAUGGGAAGGUCAUUGCUCCUGGCAGGCUCCGACAGCCUGGAGGCAAAUCAGAACUUGGCAGGGAGAAGAUGCACGAGGUCCACCCAAGCAAUCCAUCAGAAACGGAACUUCGCUCUAUCCAGGUAGAAGCAUCAGAAGAGGAAAAGUGUUUCUGUAACCUGGGUGUCCUUGGUCAACCUCCCCCUGUCCUGUUAUUUCCUCAUUAAAAAAGAAGGGACAAGAACAAAAGCUGCACAUGGAGGCCAAGCGAAUGUAGAUGUGAAGAGCACUUCAAACAGCUUCAUCCUUUCAACAAACCUUUUAUCAGCCUUCUCUCCUCCCCAACACAAACUCUUUUUUUUAAUCAUUAGUGAAAAGUUGCUGUUUAGAAAGCAAGUACACAGCUCGGGGUACAUGCGGUAUUAUCAGCGCAGGCAUUUCCCAGGAGAAGCCAGAGAGCCUGAGCCCAAGGUCUUCUGGACUCGACAGUGCCAUGGUGCAAGCAGCAGCCCUGAGGACUGGCACAGCUCAGCAGUGUGGUGGGGCUGUGGGCAGAGCACAGGGGACAGCAGGCCUGUAAUGGCAUGCCCAGGCUGGCACACUGCAUCUGCCGCUGAAGAUGCCAGUGACCCUCCUGCCAGGCACCCCAGCCCGAAACCGGAGUCACUCUGGAGCAGAAUUGGACAAGGAACCAUUUAAAAUCAUUUUGGAGCCAGAUUUAGCCAGUCAUCCUGGCCGCAGCCCAUACUUUUUGGCUGUACUGCUGCUCAUGUUAGUGCCCCCGUGGUGCUGGCACGCCGGGCAUGUGGAAAACGCCAAACGCUCCGAAACCUCCUGGCCACCUCCGGAGAAAAACGCGCAGCACAAAGCAGCUUCUCCUGUGCAACCUCCACCUGACAUUAUGGGGGCACAGCGAGCUUUAUACCGCUUGGCAGGUUCCACCCAGCAGAUCUCAAAGCUGCUUGCCAGCCCGAGCGAGUUCAGGCAUGUUACAGAAGACCUUCAGAGUCAGAGGACAAAUGAGAUGCGUGGAUGAGUUCAAACCACCGGGGUAAGACCAGGGUUUUGAAAUCCCCAGGCUUGUGCCUUGACACUACGCUUGGGCUGUGGCCCAGACUGUCCAGCUGCCAGCCUGGCAUGGAUACCGGGCCCCGUGAUGGUCCUGCUGAUAUCCCUACUUGUUAAAAAUUGGCUUCCAAACCAAAGCAGGAGGUGUCGCAUCCUCCUCAAAAAUCCACCCUCCGCUCCGUCUAGGAGCAGGGUGCAGAACGACUCUUCACUGAGACACCAUGACUCGUGGUGUUGGCAGGAUGGUGUAUUUGUGUCACGAGAUGAGAUCAGCCACACGGAGUAGGUCUGUCUGUCUGGAAAUAGUCUGAGUCAAGCGUGUCCUAUUAAAUUAGGGCUGCAAUUUUUCAAAGGAGCUCAGCUCCCGCUCAGGCACUGUAACAAACAGGCAGAUCCUCAAAAGGAGUCGGACGUGUUGGGUCAUACUGGCUGCUGAGCUGAAGUCCUUUGAAUAUCCAGCCAAAACCAUCACCGUGCCUGUUGCUACAGGCAGAGCCCUUCUGAAAUCCAGCCCCACCAUGGGCUCCACAUCCUGGGAAACCCGGCUCAUCCCUGCUCUCCCACAUAUUGCACUGCAGUGGGUGACGCAACUGCGAUAGCCACCGCGUC